RNAcentral lists this ribosomal RNA (465 nucleotides) under uncultured bacterium. Its description in RNAcentral is "partial 16S ribosomal RNA". It matches the Rfam family "Bacterial small subunit ribosomal RNA", at positions 28 to 507 of the family's 1533-position model. The record is from RNAcentral.
GACGAACGCUGGCGGCGUGCUUAACACAUGCAAGUCGAACGGAAAGGCCCUGCUUGCCGGGUACUCGAGUGGCGAACGGGUGAGUAACACGUGGGUGAUCUGCCCUGCACUUCGGGAUAAGCCUGGGAAACUGGGUCUAAUACCGGAUAGGAGCCAUUUUUAGUGUGAUGGUUGGAAAGUUUUUUCGGUGUAGGAUGAGCUCGCGGCCUAUCAGCUUGUUGGUGGGGUAAUGGCCUACCAAGGCGGCGACGGGUAGCCGGCCUGAGAGGGUGGACGGCCACAUUGGGACUGAGAUACGGCCCAGACUCCUACGGGAGGCAGCAGUGGGGAAUAUUGCACAAGGGGCGCAAGCCGGAUGCAGCGACGCCGCGUGGGGGAGGACGGCCUUCGGGUUGUAAACGCCUUUCGCUAGGGACGAAGCUUUUUGUGACGGUACCUAGAGAAGAAGCACCGGCUAACUACGUG